Prionailurus viverrinus (fishing cat) is the source of this 1441-nucleotide long non-coding RNA. RefSeq lists it as uncharacterized. The record is from RefSeq and is a predicted model, not a curated record. The transcript has 2 exons. NCBI's taxonomy places the organism in Eukaryota, Metazoa, Chordata, Mammalia, Carnivora, Felidae.
CAGAGGCUCAGACAGAGCUCACGGGGUCUGGGGAGCCCAUCCCUAAUGGCAUCUGUGUUCUCUAUGACAGGUUGGCAUCUGUUGAGUCAAAGGAGCCAGGGCGUGGAGACUGAGAAGGUUGAUGAAGAUUUAGAAGCUCUUGUUGCUGAGCAGUCCUGAGGGCCCGGUUGAAAUUGAGCAUCAUGCACCUGCAGUGGAGCCAGACAGGAUGGUGAUCUCUUCUAAAAGUCUGAGCAGGGGAAGAUCCAAGAAAAGGAGGCAGACAGAGGAAGCACAAGGGGGCCAAGUCAUACAGCAAGCAGAAGGAGAUGAGAUCAGUGGCGAAACACGAGCAGCGACACCCAAAAUGAAAGUAUGGAACUUCAAUGGGAAGACUGAUGUCAUUAGUAUGGAAAAAACAUCUGCCAGAUAAAAUCAUGUCCAUGAACAAUCUCCUCUAUGUUCUGGGAGAGAGCCUGUCUUUCUUCUCAGUGCAAGCAAGCAAGUAGCUACAAAACAACUUCUGCCUGAGGUUCAACCAAAUACUUCAAGACUUGACUUUGGGGAAGUCACUCAAUUUGUAUGGAUAAAUGUCAUGUUCUCUUUCACUUCCCUGACAGAGCCUCUUGGAUUGUAUCUUUUCAUUACACGUAGUUAAUGGAUAAUUUAAGGCUCUGAUGCUGAUAAAAUUGACAAAUGUUAUGCAGCGGUGGGCACAAUUUUCAAAUCAUUGGCCAAGUCUUAGAUGUGAGCACAUGCCAAUGUCAAAAGCAGCAAGACACAAUGGUAUGUUGUGCCUCCUUGUUUACCAGAGAACCAGGUGGGUUGAUGCCAAACACACCAUGUGCUUUAUCAGUUCAACAAAUACCAAGAUAUUGUGUCUACGGCAGACCCUUGUUUGGCAAAGAAAUACCUUUAACAAUUUUGAAGAUGUCAGUGCCCUUUGAGUUUUCCAAAAGGGACUCACCAAAUAGGAAUUCUCUGACAGUAUCAGAGUGCACCUCAUGGACAAAAACCAAGAACUGGAUACAUUGAAAGAUGUCAGUAACUGUCUUCAAGGGAAAUGGCUUAUUAGUGAAUUCUUCCUUGACCUUCAUCAAAGGGCUAAAAGAAAUGCUGAGGAUUCCGGAAUGGAUGAGUUUAUUUGACAGAGAUACUGUUUCAGUGUUCCUUCCUGAUCCAAAUUAGAAGGCUCCUGAAUGUUUUCCAGGACAUGCGGUUUCACAGUUGUAUAUGGAUUCUUUUCCUUAAGAACAUUAUAAGCAGCUUUGAGAGAUGCAUGAAAACAGAGUUUUUGUGUGAAGCACAGCCACAUUUUGGUAAGGUUCCAAUCACAAAUAACUACCUUUCCUGAUGUGCGGAGAGGAUAGACAGUUUAAUUGGAUUUGUGUUUCCAUAGGGAGGGUCUGUGGCUUUUGUAAUCCAUGAUAUUCAAUAGUAAAAUAAACAAAGAUACAGACGA